ACGCUGACAGAAUGCUUAACACAUGCAAGUCUUUGGCGAAACUGUGCUUGCACAGCCUAGCCAAGGCGGACGGGCGAGUAACGCGUAAGGAACUUGCCCUGCAGUCAGGGAUAACAGACGGAAACGACUGAUAAGACCUGGUAAAGUCAGGCGGACUCAUGUCCAGCCUGAUGAAAAGAGAUGCUGCAGGAGAGCCUUGCGUCCUAUCAGCUUGUUGGUGGGGUAACGGCCCACCAAGGCGAUGAUAGGUAGCCGGCCUGAGAGGGUGGACGGCCACAAGGGGACUGAGAUACGGCCCUUACUCCUACGGGAGGCAGCAGUGGGGAAUAUUGGACAAUGGGGGCAACCCUGAUCCAGCAAUUCUAUGUGCACGAUGAAGGUUUUCGGAUUGUAAAGUGCUUUCAGCAGGGAAGAAAAAAAUGACGGUACCUGCAGAAGAAGCGACGGCUAAAUACGUGCCAGCAGCCGCGGUAAUACGUAUGUCGCAAGCGUUAUCCGGAAUUAUUGGGCAUAAAGGGCAUCUAGGCGGCCAGAUAAGUCUGGGGUGAAAACUUGCGGCUCAACCGCAAGCCUGCCCUGGAAACUAUGUGGCUAGAGUACUGGAGAGGUGGACGGAACUGCACGAGUAGAGGUGAAAUUCGUAGAUAUGUGCAGGAAUGCCGAUGAUGAAGAUAGUUCACUGGACGGUAACUGACGCUGAAGUGCGAAAGCUAGGGGAGCAAACAGGAUUAGAUACCCUGGUAGUCCUAGCUGUAAACGAUGAUUACUGGGUGUGGGCAUGAAGAGUGUCCGUGCCGAAGCUAAUGCGAUAAGUAAUCCGCCUGGGGAGUACGGCCGCAAGGCUGAAACUCAAAGGAAUUGACGGGGACCCGCACAAGCGGUGGAGCAUGUGGUUUAAUUCGACGC
This 906-nucleotide ribosomal RNA is filed under the name uncultured bacterium. RNAcentral describes it as "bacterial SSU rRNA". It matches the Rfam family "Bacterial small subunit ribosomal RNA", at positions 33 to 957 of the family's 1533-position model. The record is from RNAcentral.